Molecule: ribosomal RNA, 465 nt
Filed under: Vreelandella stevensii
Lineage: Bacteria; Pseudomonadati; Pseudomonadota; Gammaproteobacteria; Oceanospirillales; Halomonadaceae
Description: partial 16S ribosomal RNA
Rfam family: Bacterial small subunit ribosomal RNA
Source: RNAcentral
CCUACGGGUGGCAGCAGUGGGGAAUAUUGGACAAUGGGGGGAACCCUGAUCCAGCCAUGCCGCGUGUGUGAAGAAGGCCCUCGGGUUGUAAAGCACUUUCAGUGAGGAAGAACGCCUGGUGGUUAAUACCCAUCAGGAAAGACAUCACUCACAGAAGAAGCACCGGCUAACUCCGUGCCAGCAGCCGCGGUAAUACGGAGGGUGCGAGCGUUAAUCGGAAUUACUGGGCGUAAAGCGCGCGUAGGUGGCUUGAUAAGCCGGUUGUGAAAGCCCCGGGCUCAACCUGGGAACGGCAUCCGGAACUGUCAAGCUAGAGUGCAGGAGAGGAAGGUGGAAUUCCCGGUGUAGCGGUGAAAUGCGUAGAGAUCGGGAGGAAUACCAGUGGCGAAGGCGGCCUUCUGGACUGACACUGACACUGAGGUGCGAAAGCGUGGGUAGCAAACAGGAUUAGAUACCCGAGUAGUC